RNAcentral lists this transfer RNA (79 nucleotides) under Candidatus Bathyarchaeota archaeon. Its description in RNAcentral is "tRNA-Pro". It matches the Rfam family "tRNA". Rfam says of the family: Transfer RNA (tRNA) molecules are approximately 80 nucleotides in length. The record is from RNAcentral. Lineage: Archaea; Thermoproteati; Candidatus Bathyarchaeota. RNAcentral also lists the same sequence under 1 other name.
GGGGUGGUGGUCCAGCCUGGUCUAAGAUUCCCGGCUCGGGCCCGGGAGGUCGGGAGUUCAAAUCUCCCCCACCCCACCA